RNAcentral lists this long non-coding RNA (689 nucleotides) under Numida meleagris (helmeted guineafowl). RNAcentral describes it as "lncRNA (ENSNMEG00000021903.1)". Lineage: Eukaryota; Metazoa; Chordata; Aves; Galliformes; Numididae. The record is from RNAcentral.
AAAUUAUUCCAGCCCUAUUUUUAGAUGUCUCUGUGCAGAGCAACAGCUGGAUGUCGAGGGAUUAGGGUGUUAGAAAAUUCAACCUGGUGGCCUCUGGCAAGUAUGGAGAGAUAUCGUCUCAUAGCCGUGUGAAUUUGUGGAUUUUUUGGAUUUCAAGUUAUUUCAGCCUGUUCCUUCCCCAUGCUGUUUUAGGUCUUUCCUUAAGGCAGCCCCUUUUGGAGAGCUGGUGAGGGGAGAAGCAUGACCUGCUUACUGCAAAUUGGCUUUAUCGUAAUAUAAUGCAUUGAGUAAAUCACCAGCCUUCAGACUGUGGUCACUGGCUGGUGAAAUAGGAUCCUAAAUUAUUGCAAGAUCUGUCAUUACAGGAAGCCAUUAAGGUUUUGGCUGCUCUUAAGCAGUCAUUUCAGGACACCUUGCAGACACAGACCCACUGGGUGGUUGAGACACAGAAACAGAGCAGCUCUGCUGUCACCGGUGUGAUCCUGGGCUGCAAAGGUCCACUGAAGCAUCUGCUGUGCCAGAGGAGAAAAGCCUGGAUGCCUGGAGUCUCAAUGAUGCAGAAAAACUGGAUGGAAUCUCACUGGAAGAGCAUCCUGAAGUUGUGAAAAAACCUUUUUCCUUAGGGACUGGAAGAUUUAGUGUAAACUGUACCAAAGUCUGAAGACAGAAAGCCUCCACAUAGAAGCUUG